Gavialis gangeticus (Gharial) is the source of this 1988-nucleotide long non-coding RNA. RefSeq lists it as uncharacterized. NCBI's taxonomy places the organism in Eukaryota, Metazoa, Chordata, Crocodylia, Gavialidae. The transcript is spliced from 2 exons. The record is from RefSeq and is a predicted model, not a curated record.
GUUUCUUUUCCCCUCCAGGAGAACAGUCACUACACAGAUGUCGAGGAUGCCAGCCUACAGUAACCAGUAGCCCAUUCAGAACAGGAGUGAGCAGUGGUGUGAGGGAAGGACAAGGCUAAACCCUGUAAUGGCAUGUUGAGCCAGAUGAGCAUAAAAUGCAGGGCUGCUGUCAUCUCUGCCUGACAUUCAAAAGGAGAAACAGACUGACAUCUUCAACCCACCUGUAAAGCAAAGACAGAAAACCAGUCAUCCAAAUGGAUCCCCACUCCUCUCUCCAAUGGAUUCAGAGCCCUACUGCCAGCAUGGAUAGCAGACAAACCCCACACACACACCAUGAUCCUCACUGGCCAAGAUGCUGACAGAGGCUGCAUUAACAAACAAAUCAGGGACAUUUUAGAGCUUUUCUUAGGGGUAGGAGAAAGAAAAAUAAGAGAGCAAAGAUGUUUGCUCCUGUGAUACACAGGACCAGUACGUUUGUUAACUGGGGGAAAAGACUCUCCUGCUCUGAACAAUCUAUGGUUUCAAACGUAUGAUCACGUUCAUGAAUGGGGCAUGCAAGGAGCUUCCCAUUCCUUGUUUGGUUUUCAUCCUGUCACAGUCACCUUGGGUGCACAGUCACUUCCAUGUGUAAGGGAAUGUGUAGCGUGCCUCUUGCUGUGUGCUGGGCUCUUAGAAACUGCAUGAAAAGAGAAAGAAAGGAAGCCAUGUACAGAAGAACAAGUGAUUUUGAGCAAGAUAAGCAAAGCACCUUCAAUCUUCAGGUAUCCUAGACAUCUGGUCUCCUAGACAUGUGACUGACUAUAGAUAAAGACGAGGCAAGCAAACAGUCUUUGUGAGGUGGGUAAUGUGAGAGCCUUUACUGGACCAACAAGUCAAACAGUUCAGGGAUGUGAUCAAACUCUUGCUCUCUACCCCAACACCCAUACCGUGUUCAGUGCACAACUCCAUACUCUAUAGAAGAAUGUUCACACAUGUCCCCUUGCUCCAGCCUCACUCUGGUUUUCCUGGGUCAGGUCAGGGAGUGGGAGAAGGAGGAAAUCGUUCCUUAUACCAAAGGCUGCAUCCAACAUCGCAGUGUAUUGUGAUGAGUCCAAGUGAUGUUGUAACUCACCUAUGUGUAAAAGAUUUGUAAAGAUUAGUGCCAAGAGUGCUGGGCAUGAGGGAACUAGAGUAUUCUGUCCCUACCCGAUCCCCACAUUCAAACUACUCUUGACCUACUCACAACCCUAAGAACAAAGGAUAGCAGCAGACAUAGUGCAGUUUUCUCAAGGGAAACAUUCUAUAAUGCAGACCUUUCGCAUGUCCAGCUAUUGUGAUUUCACAGCUUCCCUCCUUCAUGGGCUUGUUCCUAGUUUCUAGUUUCUGAGACUGGUGGAGCCAAGAAUUUCAACCACUCAAACUGGACACCCCUUCAUACGUAUCUGGUGCUUUGCCCUCAGAGAACUGCCCAAGCCUUCUCCCUGACCAAGCUCCAAAACAAAAGGUGAAACAAACAGAAUCAUAGAGAUCUGCUAGACCAGUAUUCGGCAGGCCUCCUGGUUUCUACUGCAACGCUCAAAACCUGACUUCUUAUACAGUUUUUACAUGGGGGUGUUAAGGGGAAAGGGAAAGCAAGUCAAGGGCAGUGUUUCCCCCUCCAAAAGAACUCAGUUUGUAGUGAUCAUGACUCCUGAAGCACAACAUUUGACUUGCAUUUCUUAGUUGAAAACAACUCAGAUAAAGGGGGCGGCUGUUCUUUUCUUUUUCUUUUCUGCUUUUUUUGUCUUCGUUUCAGCUUUCCUUCCAUCCUUCUGUCCUUUUUUCCUUCCUUCCCCUCUUUAGUUCCUGUUCAGUUUGUCCACUGUGUUGUACUGAGCUGUUGUAGAGUUUUUUUUCUAGGCUUUGAGAGAUGAGCUGCAGUUUUUGCUAUGAACUGACCAUGAUGCUGAGGUUUUGGAGGAAGGUAGCCUUGUACAUAAAAAUCCUGUAAAAUAAAAGAGGGAAAUCUA